This is a long non-coding RNA of Etheostoma cragini (Arkansas darter), 167 nucleotides long. RefSeq lists it as uncharacterized. Lineage: Eukaryota; Metazoa; Chordata; Actinopteri; Perciformes; Percidae. The record is from RefSeq and is a predicted model, not a curated record. The transcript is spliced from 3 exons.
AGUGCAUACCGCUCUAAACAAACAUGGAAAAUGUAGCUGGUAAUGUUCACUCAGCAUUUUGUUUUGUUGUUAAACUAUGGGUAAAAUGAGCGGUGAUGUUAAAUCACCGGUUUCAGAUAACCUCCCUACAGUACCGUCUGUUUGCUGCAUGGUUUCAAGGUAAAGGC